Molecule: long non-coding RNA, 418 nt
Organism: Prunus mume (Japanese apricot)
Lineage: Eukaryota; Viridiplantae; Streptophyta; Magnoliopsida; Rosales; Rosaceae
Source: RefSeq, a predicted model, not a curated record
UUUGUAAACAACGUGAUGGGUAAGCUAUGCUAAUUUAGUGCAGUUUAUCGAUAUUGUACAUAACUGCAGUUCUAAUUUCUAUACUUAUUGGCCUGACAAUACCUCGUAUGGAAUCAUAACGGUAAAAUUCAUUGAGCAUCUUAGUGCCGACAUUUCGUUGGAUAAAGUUGACUAUUCGAAGAUUAUAUAUUACCAACUUGAACUUGCAAUUGAGGCUUUAAGGGGGGAGGCAUAUAUUGAGGAAAGCCUUUAUAUGAAGAUGCAGACAUCGAAGCUGUGCUAGAGGUGCUUUAUAUGGUCAUCCAUACAUUUUAAUAGAGCUAUUUGGUUUAGGUAUUCUGUGUAGCAAGGUGAAAUGUAAUAUUGUAUAUUCGGUGGUAGUGGCUAAUUGCCUUACAUGGCACAUACAUUGAUUCCA